AUGUCAAGAUUAGACUAUUAGAUAUUCAAGUUCAGGUUAAAGUUAGAAACUAUUAGUUUCAGUUGUCCCGGUGUAGUCACCAAUAGUUGGGUAGUAGGAGCUCACUGAGGCUUAGUAGUCUCAUCCCACGACUUUCAAUUUUUUUUUAGGUAAACAGGUUAACCGGAGCAAGGACCAGGCAGGAACUGAUGAUCGAGGUUAAGCUUGGAUUAUCGGAUUAGAAGACUAUCGUCUUCUUCUUUGUUUUUAUGUUAAUCUGUUAAGUUAGAAUUUAAUUCUCUUCCGCUGUAUUGUACCAGAUUAUCACGUUUUUCAUGUGAUAUCUUGUAAUUCAAUUAAUUUAUUUUGUAAUUUUAAUGUACUCAGAUUCAAUUAUUAAUAUCUCGACUAAAUAUUCUAGACAA
This 404-nucleotide long non-coding RNA is filed under the name Trifolium pratense (red clover). RNAcentral's name for it is "long non-coding RNA (TPRA_LNC006179)". Lineage: Eukaryota; Viridiplantae; Streptophyta; Magnoliopsida; Fabales; Fabaceae. The record is from RNAcentral.